Long non-coding RNA from Salvelinus fontinalis (brook trout), 257 nucleotides. RefSeq lists it as uncharacterized. The transcript has 3 exons. The record is from RefSeq and is a predicted model, not a curated record. NCBI's taxonomy places the organism in Eukaryota, Metazoa, Chordata, Actinopteri, Salmoniformes, Salmonidae.
GUGCACUACUUUAGACCAGGGCUCAUAGGGUAGUGCACUACUUUAGACCAGGGCCUAUAGGGGUAGUGCACUACUUUAGACCAAGGCUCAUAGGGUAGUGCACUACUUUAGACCAGGGCCUAUAGGGGUAGUGCACUACUUUAGACCAGGGCUCAUAGGGGUAGUGCACUACUUUAGACCAGGGCCUAUAGGGGUAGUGCACUACUUUAGACCAGGGCCAUAGGGGUAGUGCACUACUUUAGACCAGGGCCAUAGGG